UACGUAGGGAGCAAGCGUUGUCCGGAUUUACUGGGUGUAAAGGGUGCGUAGGCGGCUCUGCAAGUCAGGCGUGAAAACUAUGGGCUUAACCCAUAGACUGCGUUUGAAACUGUGGGGCUUGAGUGAAGUAGAGGUAGGCGGAAUUCCCGGUGUAGCGGUGAAAUGCGUAGAGAUCGGGAGGAACACCAGUGGCGAAGGCGGCCUACUGGGCUUUAACUGACGCUGAAGCACGAAAGCAUGGGUAGCAAACAGGAUUAGAUACC
Molecule: ribosomal RNA, 263 nt
Filed under: uncultured bacterium
Lineage: Bacteria
Description: partial 16S ribosomal RNA
Rfam family: Bacterial small subunit ribosomal RNA
Source: RNAcentral